UACGGAGGGGGCUAGCGUUGUUCGGAAUUACUGGGCGUAAAGCGCACGUAGGCGGCUUUGUAAGUUAGAGGUGAAAGCCCGGGGCUCAACUCCGGAAUUGCCUUUAAGACUGCAUCGCUAGAAUUGUGGAGAGGUAAGUGGAAUUCCGAGUGUAGUGGUGAAAUUCGUAGAUAUUCGGAAGAACACCAGUGGCGAAGGCGACUUACUGGACACAUAUUGACGCUGAGGUGCGAAAGCGUGGGGAGCAAACAGG
Molecule: ribosomal RNA, 253 nt
Filed under: uncultured bacterium
Lineage: Bacteria
Description: partial 16S ribosomal RNA
Rfam family: Bacterial small subunit ribosomal RNA
Source: RNAcentral